UUUUCUCUCACCUAAUUUGCGUAUAUCUCCUCUCAUCAGCUUUUCUCUCUCUUCUUCAAUACAUUUUUCCCUCUUCUCCCACAAACACACGUUCCAUACACUUCAAAAACCCUCCUCCGCCAUUAUCGCCCCACACGCCAUUCUUCUUCGCAAGCUUCACAGUUGUAUUUUGGAAAUCUUCUCCCCGUAGGAUUCUUUGAGUUUUCUCUCUAAUGUCGGAUGCAACGCCACUCAGCAGACUACCCAGAGGUUUAUCAGCAUCCAAAGUUGAUGAAAGAAGAAGUAAAUUACACAAUGACAAGUUGAAAGAAGUCCAAGUUGAUGAAGCUUCAAAAGAAACCAAAAAUCAAGUUGGCUCAAAGAGGAAAAAACCUAUGAAAGAUUCAAGAAACCAAAAGGUAAUUGGUAUUUGUUACAUGUAUU
Molecule: non-coding RNA, 423 nt
Organism: Nicotiana tabacum (common tobacco)
Lineage: Eukaryota; Viridiplantae; Streptophyta; Magnoliopsida; Solanales; Solanaceae
Source: RefSeq, a predicted model, not a curated record